UAAAUAGAGUAGGCAAAGGACA
This 22-nucleotide microRNA is filed under the name Pan troglodytes (chimpanzee). RNAcentral's name for it is "ptr-miR-3121". Lineage: Eukaryota; Metazoa; Chordata; Mammalia; Primates; Hominidae. The record is from miRBase by way of RNAcentral. RNAcentral also lists the same sequence under 2 other names.